UCAAAGAGGGAAAAUUUGAACUUGCCAGGGCAAAAUAUGAAAAUAUGUCUAAUGUGAUGUUGGAUAUGAUUACUUCAAGAAAAAUAAAGAGGAAUCUUAUGCAUUGGCUUUCUCAAACGUUCUCGCCAGCAAAAGGAAAUUACAAGGGAACAAGCAAUUCAAGAUCUGGAGGAAUUGGAGAGAAGAAGAGAAGAACUUGAACAAUUGUUGUUGGCAGAAAGGGUAUGAGAGAAUAUGGGUGAUUAAGUCAAAUGGAGAAAGGGACAUCAUGUCCUUGUUGUGUGCAGGUGUUUUCUCCCUGAGACAGGCAAGGAACCUGACAUCAAGAAUGGUUCAACUUAAAGAUGCUUCCUCGUACUCAUUCUCUUCCUCUUUAUAUUUUUCGAUACUUACUUCAAGUAGGAUACUAAGAAUUUCCUAUACUAUUCUUUCUGAUUGCUUAUAAAAUAGUUUGCUCAUUAGAUACUUCAUUUUCUCGUCUUUUAUUUGUGUAAAUCAUUUUUCUUUGUUUAGUGACAAUGAAUCUUUGAACAU
Molecule: long non-coding RNA, 534 nt
Organism: Gossypium arboreum
Lineage: Eukaryota; Viridiplantae; Streptophyta; Magnoliopsida; Malvales; Malvaceae
Exons: 3
Source: RefSeq, a predicted model, not a curated record